Molecule: long non-coding RNA, 1274 nt
Organism: Scatophagus argus
Lineage: Eukaryota; Metazoa; Chordata; Actinopteri; Scatophagidae
Exons: 3
Source: RefSeq, a predicted model, not a curated record
AUUUUAGAGCCAGGCACUUUGGCUGAGGAACUUAAUUUCAACACUUACUCCCUCCUUCAGGUAAUGGCUCCUCAAAUGCCAAAUAAUAAGCGGUAGAAACUCUGCAUCAGUGUCUCUGGACCGUCUGCUCCUAUGUUGCUGGGGAACUGGAGCACUCAGAGAAAACCCCAUGUCAAGAAAAUGGAAAGUCCAGAGAGAAAGUUUCCAGAUGGAUUUGAACAGAAAAUCUGUGAAGGGUCAGAGCUGCCCACCGAGUCAUCAUGCUGUCCUAAAGGGUCCAGGAUGCAGGGACAAGCAAUGAAGCAGAGAAAGCAGUGAAGUAUUGGCUAGCAAUGGUAUUGGUUCCCCCAGGACAACUGGCAGGUUGAAAUGUCAGUGCUGACAAAAUGUUGGCUAGUUUUGCACGUGGAGGUGGGAAAUGUCAAACGUUGAAGUGUAGCAAUUGAACUGUGCAAUUAGGAACAGUUUAUUGCUCUGAUACUGCGAUUGGAGCCAAGUUCGGUUUAAAACGCUUUGCUAAACAGAACCUUAUCAAUGGCGUCAGUUUUUUCACUGCCCAUAAUGUGAAUACGGUGUAUAGAAAGUGUGGAGUCAUACUUCUCACAGUACCUACACACAUGGACAAAAUUGUUGGCACCCCUCUUUUAAUGAAAGAAAAACCCACAAUGGUCACUGAAAUAACUUGAAAAUGACAAAAGUAAUAAUAAAUAAAAUUUGCUGAAAAUCAACCAAUGUAAACCUGACAUUGCUUUUGAAUUGUUGUUCAACAUAAUCAUUAAAAAAAAAAAAAUAACAAAAAACAAAUAAUGAAACAGGCCUUGACAAAAAUGAUGGCACCCUUAACUUAAUAUUUUGUUGCACAACCUUUUUAGGCAAUCACUGCAAUCAAACGAUUUCUUGUAAUCUCUGAUUGCUGUUGGAAGACCCAUGACCUGUGACUGAGAUCAAGCUUUCUGACACUAGGCAGCACAUUUCACUCCAGAAUGCCUUGAUAUUCUUGAAAUUUCAUAGCCAUUGGAAUAUUUCACCCUGUGCCAGAUGCAGCAAAGCAACCCAGAACAUAACCGAGCCUCCUCCAUGUUUCACAGUAGGGGACAGUGUUCUUUUCUUGGUAUGCUUCACUUUUGCGUCUGUUAACAUAGAGCUGAUGUGCCUUGCCAAAAAGCUCCAGUUUUAUCAUCUGUCCAAAGGUCAUUCUCCCAGAAGCUUCGUGGUUUGUCAAUAUGUAUUGUGGCAAAUUCCAGUCUCACUUUUUUAUGAUGUGCUUUCAACAG